Molecule: long non-coding RNA, 976 nt
Filed under: Homo sapiens (human)
Lineage: Eukaryota; Metazoa; Chordata; Mammalia; Primates; Hominidae
Description: HSALNT0162828
Source: RNAcentral
AAAUAUUUUUCAGUGGAGCAUAGGACUUUGUUACAAGAAAAAAACUGUCAUAUUUCAAAGUGGUUACUUUUCUCCUCCCCCUGCCAAAGACACGAGAUGAUUUUUCUUGGCUCUUCAUGAUGAGAACUUGGUGGGGUUCUUGGAGGUAAAAACCUCUGAAUAUGCAGAACCCCUUCUAAGACUGUGACUCCAAGGAGUUUUUAUUCUUGAGCUAUGUCACACUCAACUUACAGCAAUUUAUCUGAAUUACCAUUCAGGUGAUCCAUCCACUUUUUAGUUCCGUGGUUCCUGCUCCAGAAGACAAGGACAAACUGAUACAUCAUCAAAAGAAUUUAUUUAGCCAGAGUGAAUACAUUCUUCUUUAUCCUCAUUGUCUUUAUGGAAACCUCCAAAUGAGCAGCAGUGCACAUCUAUAAAGGAUACAUGGAUGAUUCAGAGAAAAAAAAGUGACCAUGAUUUGCCCAGAAAAUCCACCAAUUGGAAGGGGAGGACUCUUUUCUUCCCAUCCCACUCAUGAGAACAGUGAAGGUAAUGUCCACAGGACAUGUUCCUUACAGUCCCACCUUGUUGGACCCCACUCGGUAAUUUGGAGUCUUGUGAUCGUGAUCUGGGAAGAAAGGGCAACAGCUUUCCAGGUGAAGGUGCAGGGAAGAGUUGUCUCCUUGGAGUCCAGGAUGGGAGCCUACUGCUUGCUGGGAAUCUCAGCUGGUGAAAAGGAUGCAGGGCAAGUAGUGGUUAAGCAUGGUCAUUUGAGCAUCAAGGUGAAAAGCUGCUUCUAAAUUGUAGGGACCAGAUCCACACAGCGAUCUCUCCAACAUGGGUGGAAAAGGAUGUUCUUGGCCACAUUAAUCACACCUCUCUCCAGAAAUCCAGGCACCAGGAAUUAAGCCAAACACCAGAUGAGGGCUCCCCAUGUGCUGUUAAGAACUGCAGCCUUCCUGCAGGAGCAUCAGUAGACCCAAAAGGCCAGAAAACA